UGGGGAAUAUUGCACAAUGGGCGAAAGCCUGAUGCAGCAACGCCGCGUGAAGGAAGAAGGCCCUUGGGUCGUAAACUUCUGUUCUAAGGGAAGAUAAUGACGGUACCUUAGGAGCAAGUCCCGGCUAACUACGUGCCAGCAGCCGCGGUAAUACGUAGGGGGCGAGCGUUAUCCGGAAUUAUUGGGCGUAAAGAGUACGUAGGUGGUUAUCUAAGCGAGGGGUUUAAGGCAAUAGCUCAACUAUUGUUUGCCCCGCGAACUGGGUGACUUGAGUGCUGGAGAGGAAAGCGGAAUUCCUAGUGUAGCGGUGAAAUGCGUAGAUAUUAGGAGGAACAUCAGUGGCGAAGGCGGCUUUCUGGACAGUAACUGACACUGAGGUACGAAAGUGUGGGGAGCAAACAG
This 402-nucleotide ribosomal RNA is filed under the name uncultured bacterium. RNAcentral's name for it is "bacterial SSU rRNA". It matches the Rfam family "Bacterial small subunit ribosomal RNA", at positions 355 to 775 of the family's 1533-position model. The record is from RNAcentral.